RNAcentral lists this ribosomal RNA (253 nucleotides) under uncultured bacterium. RNAcentral's name for it is "partial 16S ribosomal RNA". It matches the Rfam family "Bacterial small subunit ribosomal RNA", at positions 524 to 776 of the family's 1533-position model. The record is from RNAcentral.
UACGGAAGGGGCAAGCGUUGUUCGGAAUCAUUGGGCGUAAAGGGCGCGUAGGUGGUUCUGUAUGUCUACCGUGAAAGCGUACGGCUCAACCGUAUUUUGUCGGUGGAAACUGCAGGACUUGAGGCUGGGAGGGGCUGGUGGAAUUCCCUGUGUAGCGGUGAAAUGCGUAGAGAUCGGGAAGAACAUCGGUGGCGAAAGCGCUCUACUGGGCCAUAACUGACACUCAGGGACGAAAGCUAGGGGAGCGAAUGGG